RNAcentral lists this ribosomal RNA (535 nucleotides) under uncultured fungus. RNAcentral describes it as "partial 18S ribosomal RNA". It matches the Rfam family "Eukaryotic small subunit ribosomal RNA", at positions 1028 to 1606 of the family's 1831-position model. The record is from RNAcentral. Lineage: Eukaryota; Fungi.
UACAGUAAACUAUGCCGACUAGGGAUCGGACGACCUCUUUUGAUGUGUCGUUCGGCACCUUACGAGAAAUCAAAGUCUUUGGGUUCUGGGGGAGUAUGGUCGCAAGGCUGAAACUUAAGGAAUUGACGAAGGGCACCACCAGGAGUAAACCUAACCGCAGUUAACUCUGCUCCGAACAGCGGCCCGAAAGGGUGAGGUGGUAUAAAUGCCUUGGAUGAAAGGUCCUAAACUCGCUAGUCCGCACGACGUGCGGGCGACAUCCUCAAAGUGCGGGAAACUCCUAAAGCUCAGAGAUACCAAGCCUCCGACCGAAAGGUGGAGGUGGCCGGGUUAAUUGCCUCGGGUAAGGUCACAACUCUCGGAGAUGCAACAAUGGACGAUCCGCAGCCAAUCCCUACGUCGUGAGAUAGGGGACAGGUUCAGAGACUAGAUGGGGAUGGGUCGUCGUCCAGACGGUCUAAGGUAUAGUCCGACCCCGUGCGAAAGCGCGGCGGAACAGAAAUGGGAGCCUGCGGCUUAAUUUGACUCAACACGG